GAAAAUCUAAGGCCUGCACCCGAAGCCACACAAAUCCUCUCCCUUCUACCUUCAGUCGGACGCCCCCACCCUUUGUAAUUAAUUUUCUUCUUUCCCCUCAUAAAUCAACCCCACGGCCUCCCUUUUCCUCCAACAAAAAGGAACCGAACAGCCCCUCACAGCUCCUCUCUCGAUUCCACUUUCUCCCCAACGCAACCCAUCUCCUGCAACCUUUUCUUCCUCUGUUUUUUCCCCAAAACCGUUCCCCUGCUUUGUGAUUUUUGCUCCAAAAGCCAGCCGGUUGCGCCCCUCCUCUAGUCGGCGUUCUUCCUCGCGGCCAAGGGAACACCGCCGCCCACAGACCAGUCACCAGCAACUCAGGUCGUCGCCAG
RNAcentral lists this long non-coding RNA (371 nucleotides) under Populus tremula. Its description in RNAcentral is "long non-coding RNA (PTRE_LNC000380)". The record is from RNAcentral. Lineage: Eukaryota; Viridiplantae; Streptophyta; Magnoliopsida; Malpighiales; Salicaceae.